AUUGAACGCUGGCGGAAUGCUUUACACAUGCAAGUCGAACGGCAGCACGGACUUCGGUCUGGUGGCGAGUGGCGAACGGGUGAGUAAUGUAUCGGAACGUGCCCAGUCGUGGGGGAUAACGUAGUGAAAAUUACGCUAAUACCGCAUACGAUCGAUGGAUGAAGGCGGGGGACCGUAAGGCCUCGCGCGAUUGGAGCGGCCGAUAUCAGGUUAGGUAGUUGGUGGGGUAAAGGCUCACCAAGCCGACGAUCUGUAGCUGGUCUGAGAGGACGACCAGCCACACUGGAACUGAGACACGGUCCAGACUCCUACGGGAGGCAGCAGUGGGGAAUUUUGGACAAUGGGCGCAAGCCUGAUCCAGCCAUUCCGCGUGCAGGAUGAAGGCCCUCGGGUUGUAAACUGCUUUUGUACGGAACGAAAAGGUCCUGGUUAAUACCUGGGGCUCAUGACGGUACCGUAAGAAUAAGCACCGGCUAACUACGUGCCAGCCGCCGCAGUAA
This 500-nucleotide ribosomal RNA is filed under the name uncultured bacterium. RNAcentral describes it as "partial 16S ribosomal RNA". It matches the Rfam family "Bacterial small subunit ribosomal RNA", at positions 30 to 523 of the family's 1533-position model. The record is from RNAcentral.